Molecule: ribosomal RNA, 358 nt
Filed under: Paralacydonia cf. weberi NHM_053
Lineage: Eukaryota; Metazoa; Annelida; Polychaeta; Phyllodocida; Paralacydoniidae
Description: partial large subunit ribosomal RNA
Rfam family: Bacterial large subunit ribosomal RNA
Source: RNAcentral
CCGUGCUAAGGUAGCAUAAUCAUUUGUCUUUUAAUUGAAGACUAGAAUGAAUGGAUAAACAAGAAUAAAUCUGUCUUAAUUUAAAUUAUUAUAAAUUUAUAUUUAGGUGAAGAAUCCUAAAUAAAUCUAUAGGACAAAAAGACCCUAUUGAGCUUUAUUUAAUUUUAUAUAUAAAAUUUUUUUAAAAAGAUUUAUAUAAUAAUAAGAGUUUGGUUGGGGCGACAUAGGAAUAAAAAAAUCUUCUUAUAAGAAUAUAAAAAUAAUAAAUAUCCUAGAAAAAGAAAAAAAAUUAGUUACCAUAGGGAUAACAGGCUAAUCUUUAUUGAGAGUUCAUAUUAACAUAAAGGGUUGGCACCUC